Molecule: non-coding RNA, 498 nt
Filed under: Pongo abelii (Sumatran orangutan)
Lineage: Eukaryota; Metazoa; Chordata; Mammalia; Primates; Hominidae
Source: RNAcentral
GGAUUUCCUCUCUGCCUUUUGGGGCGAGAUAUGGCUGAUGCCUUGAUAUGGAGGAGGAAGCAGCGGCAUCGAGCCCAUGCCCACAGUUGGCCUGAGGCCCACUCAGCACCUGGUGCCAACCCAGGGCAGUGAGAGGAGACAGAGACUGUCCCUGGCUCAGAACCAACUGCGGUGGAGAGCGGAGGGAGGCCAUGGGAGCCACUCCUCUUGCCCUGCUGAGGGUGUCUGGGUGGAUGAGGGCCACCACGGACCCAGGCCAGGAUGGCUGCUGUGGGGGAGGAGACCGCCGGGGCAGCAGUGACGGCCAAGAGCAGCGAGUGAGAAAAAAAAGACCAGUGUUUUACUGGCUCACGGGGAGGCAGCUAUCACCAGGGCUACAAGACUCUGCAAAGAAACCCGUGCACUUCCAAGUUCGUGGUGAAAGGAAAGACACUUGGCAGCUGGGCAGGACUUUUUUUUUUUUUUUUUAAGACGGAGUCUCGCUCUGUUGCCAGGCUG